RNAcentral lists this ribosomal RNA (442 nucleotides) under uncultured bacterium. RNAcentral describes it as "partial 16S ribosomal RNA". It matches the Rfam family "Bacterial small subunit ribosomal RNA", at positions 338 to 795 of the family's 1533-position model. The record is from RNAcentral.
CCUACGGGAGGCAGCAGUAGGGAAUCUUUCACAAUGGGCGAAAGCCUGAUGGAGCAACGCCGCGUGCAGGAUGAUGGCCUUCGGGUUGUAAACUGCUUUUAUAAGCGAGAAAUAUGAUGGUAACUUAUGAAUAAGGAUCGGCUAACUACGUGCCAGCAGCCGCGGUCAUACGUAGGAUCCGAGCAUUAUCCGGAGUGACUGGGUGUAAAGAGUUGCGUAGGUGGCAUAAUAAGUAGCUAGUGAAAUCUGGUGGCUCAACCAUUCAGACUAUUAGCUAAACUGUUAAGCUCGAGACCGUUAGGGGUAACUGGAAUUUCUAGUGUAGGAGUGAAAUCCGUAGAUAUUAGAAGGAACACCAAUAGCGUAGGCAGGUUGCUGGGACGGUUCUGACACUAAGGCACGAAAGCGUAGGGAGCAAACGGGAUUAGAUACCCCUGUAGUC